AGUGAACGCUGGCGGUAGGCCUAACACAUGCAAGUCGAACGGCAGCACAGUAAGAGCUUGCUCUUACGGGUGGCGAGUGGCGGACGGGUGAGGAAUACAUCGGAAUCUACUUUUUCGUGGGGGAUAACGUAGGGAAACUUACGCUAAUACCGCAUACGACCUACGGGUGAAAGCAGGGGAUCUUCGGACCUUGCGCGAUUGAAUGAGCCGAUGUCGGAUUAGCUAGUUGGCGGGGUAAGGGCCCACCAAGGCGACGAUCCGUAGCUGGUCUGAGAGGAUGAUCAGCCACACUGGAACUGAGACACGGUCCAGACGACUAAGGGAGGCAGCAGUGGGGAAUAUUGGACAAUGGGCGCAAGCCUGAUCCAGCCAUACCGCGUGGGUGAAGAAGGCCUUCGGGUUGUAAAGCCCUUUUGUUGGGAAAGAAAAGCAGCAGGUUAAUACCCCGCUGUUCUGACGGUACCCAAAGAAUAAGCACCGGCUAACUUCGUG
RNAcentral lists this ribosomal RNA (492 nucleotides) under uncultured bacterium. RNAcentral's name for it is "partial 16S ribosomal RNA". It matches the Rfam family "Bacterial small subunit ribosomal RNA", at positions 29 to 507 of the family's 1533-position model. The record is from RNAcentral.